This 557-nucleotide ribosomal RNA is filed under the name uncultured bacterium. Its description in RNAcentral is "partial 16S ribosomal RNA". It matches the Rfam family "Bacterial small subunit ribosomal RNA", at positions 355 to 922 of the family's 1533-position model. The record is from RNAcentral.
UGGGGAAUAUUGCACAAUGGGCGCAAGCCUGAUGCAGCAACGCCGCGUGAGGGACGACGGCCUUCGGGUUGUAAACCUCUUUUAGUAGGGAAGAAGCGAAAGUGACGGUACCUGCAGAAAAAGCACCGGCUAACUACGUGCCAGCAGCCGCGGUAAUACGUAGGGUGCGAGCGUUGCCCGGAAUUAUUGGGCGUAAAGAGCUCGUAGGCGGUCUGUCGCGUCUGCUGUGAAAACCCGAGGCUCAACCUCGGGCCUGCAGUGGGUACGGGCAGACUAGAGUGCGGUAGGGGAGAAUGGAAUUCCUGGUGUAGCGGUGGAAUGCGCAGAUAUCAGGAGGGGCACCGAUGGCGAAGGCAGGUCUCGUGGCCGUAACUGACGCUGAGGAGCGAAAGCGUGGGGAGCGAACAGGAUUAGAUACCCUGGUAGUCCACGCCGUAAACGUUGGGCGCUAGAUGUGGGGACCAUUCCACGGUUUCCGUGUCGCAGCUAACGCAUUAAGCGCCCCGCCUGGGGAGUACGGCCGCAAGGCUAAAACUUAAAGGAAUUGACGGGGUCAU